Acanthosepion pharaonis is the source of this 94-nucleotide non-coding RNA. NCBI's taxonomy places the organism in Eukaryota, Metazoa, Mollusca, Cephalopoda, Sepiida, Sepiidae. The record is from the annotation of a GenBank genome assembly.
ACCACCGGUUCUCGUUCGAUCACCGAAGUUAAGCAUCGUAGAGCCAGGUCAGUACUUAGAUGGGGGACCGCUUGGGAACACCUGGUACUGUAAG